CAAACCAAAAUUUAUUACAGACAGAUAUCAAACCAAUCACUUACUUCUAUAGUUCUGUCCAAAGCUGUUUUUAGAGAGAAGAGAUUUGGUUCUGGUAGCAGCAUCCAUGGGGAAGUGGGAUCUCUGUUUCUGAUUCCCUCACCCCUGGCUCAUCUUCCUGCUGAUCUGGGUGACUUGCUCAGCCUGUUUCCUGUGAGGAAUCUGAACUCCUCUUUCCUGUGUUCUUGCCAAGCGUGGAUGCUGUGUGUCAAAGCAAGUGAUGGCCUUGUGAAUCCUUGAGUGCCAGACAUACUCUUCCCUGCCUUGUUGUGCAGCAGCGAUCGCAUUUCCUCAUGCUUGUCGGGGGCAGCUUCUGCCCCCAGUAUAGUAACUCUACUUUGCCUGCCGAUUUACUUGAGAAGGCCUAAACGGCAGUCAAAGCUUUAGGCUCUGUGGAACCCUUACUUAGUCCCUAACCGGAAGUGUACCCUCUUAGGGGACCAGGACGGGUGGCCCAGCAGAGCCUGAGAUUGCAGGGACAGGAGCGACUUCCACUCUUUGUUUCCAAGACAUGUGUAUUCUGCCUAACAGCAACGUGACCCCAUGUCAUGACCAUUGGUUCAAAGCAAUUUUACCCUUUCACAGGGAUAGAGAAGAAACACUGGACUGCAGGAGCCCAUGCGGAUAAAAACAAGUCACUUAAAAGGAACAAAUCAUAGGCUUAGAUCUCUGUGAAUGCCAGAAGAAGACAGAUCAGUGCCAGCAUCACUUGUAGAGAGUAGCUUGCAGUUAGGGAAUUUUAUGCUUAGCUAAAGUGUUGUCUGUCUGAGAAGACUAAAGAAAAAUAUUAUUAUAUGUGCAAAAGCCCUCAUAAAACACUUGUGUUGGGAAGAAAUUACUUGGGCAUAUAACCCGGUUCAUCAAGAGAUAACCACAGGCCGGGCGCUGUGGCUCACGCCUGUAAUCCU
Molecule: non-coding RNA, 947 nt
Organism: Microcebus murinus (gray mouse lemur)
Lineage: Eukaryota; Metazoa; Chordata; Mammalia; Primates; Cheirogaleidae
Source: RefSeq, a predicted model, not a curated record